RNAcentral lists this long non-coding RNA (564 nucleotides) under Selaginella moellendorffii. RNAcentral's name for it is "long non-coding RNA (SMOE_LNC002357)". Lineage: Eukaryota; Viridiplantae; Streptophyta; Lycopodiopsida; Selaginellales; Selaginellaceae. The record is from RNAcentral.
GAGGUUUUCUUGUUUAUUUUGUCUUGUGCAGGCAACCCUAAAAUGGAGGCCGUUCUUGAUCGAGACUGGCCUGGAUUUGAAUUGGAAGGGCACUGCUUGCGGCACUGCUUGCUACCGCUGGAGACGAUCUGAUGCCCCUGCUGCUACAAGGGAAGGCUUCCUGGAGACUUGCUGAUGCUGCCAAGAGGCUUCUCUCGGGAAUUGCUGUGCGCAAAGGCCUUGAGGCUGAUGGGAGAGAUCACAUUUGAGUGGGGGACAUGGAACAAGAUGCUGGUUCCUGAUGGGUCCUAAUACAAGCUGGGCUGUGUGCAAGCUUGGGUACCUUGGAACUUGCUGCUACUCUUGUUCAACACCACAAGAUGCUGAUUUCAUGAGCUCAGCUUUUCUCGGCUGAGUGGGGGGAGUGAGAUAGGUUCACAAUGGUUUAGCAUUAAUUUCUUUUUUCUGAUCCAACCUUCGCAUGAUGAUCUCGGCUGAGUGGGGGUGUGAGGAUGUAGUACAUCCAAGAUCACUGUACGGCUGAGACACGUGGUGACACGUGGUGGAUCUGGAGAGUCAUGACUC